GCACAGAGCCUGACGCGGGGCUCAAACUCAUGAACCACGAGACCGUGACCUGAGCCUGAGCCGAAGUCGGACGCUCAACCGACUGAGCCACUCAGGUGCCCCUCUCCAUGCAUUUUUGAAUGAGUAAACUAAAUGAAUAAUAAGAGACAAAAGAGAGAGCCAGGCAGGGACUUCAUUCAGCCUGGGCCCUGGAGAGAGGGGACCAAGGGUAUGAGUGAAGGGUAGGUGCAUUGUUUUGCCAGCUGUGUGCAGAUGUGUGAGGCGCCCCUGCUGCUGAUACCUCCAACACUCACACAGGGGCACAGAGACCUCAUUCUUUAAUGCCUUUUGGCUGUGGAGGGAGGUGGGAGGUCCUGGGUUCUGGACCCAGCUGUGGUGUGGCCUGAUUCAGGAAUGGAGUUUCUGUUCUCUCUCCUCCCUGUCUUUCUUUCUACAGGAUUGAGCCCCCAUCAUGUUUUGGGCCCAGAAACAGAGAGGAAGACAGACAGAAGAAGGAGGGUGAUGGGCAGGCAGGAGUGGCAGGAGACGGACAUUUUCAUCCCAGUAGCCCAGGGGGCUGUGAAGAGGAUAAGUGGGAGGAGACUGGUUCUGUCCCAGUGCAAGUGACAUUUGCAUUGAGCCUUAAAAAAACCAAGAGCAUUUGGGUAGGUGCAGGGGCGGGGACCACUUUCCAGGCAAGAGAAACAGCCAAGCAGGAGGCCAGCAGUGUCAGCUCAGAGGGGGAGCCAGAAUGCCCCCCCCCCCAUAUUUCCUCCCUCUGUGGCCUGGGCAGCAACCUGCUCUGGGGGGGGGGGGUGAACUCCUUGGUCCCUUGUGCACCCCCAUUAGGUCUGCAGCCUGGGGCAGGGCCUAGUGGGCUCCCAGGAUGGCUACUUAGGGCCACAGGGAGGGGGGCAGUUGGAAAAAGGCCACACCCCCAGCCUGCUGCUCCCGGACCUAGGGUGGGGGUUCCAUUUUCCUUGCUACCCACAGAAACUCCAACAGUUGAUCCUCUCUUACUAACCUAGAUGGCCCAGGAACUCUUGGGUUUGAGCAAAGCUGCUGAUGCUGGUCGGUGCCUCCCAUUCCACAGAAGUGUCUCACAGCCUGUGGGGCACCCGGCUGCAGACGGGCAGCAGCGGGGCCUGGGCUAGGCCAGGGAGGGAGGAACGGGCCGGUCGGCCGGGAAUGGCAAGGAGACCUAGGGGCGGGCCAGCGGGGCUAGGCGGCUCGGGAAAGGCCUGAGUCAGGCUUCUCCCAAUAAACUGCACGUGAAUAAUUCAGCAGCCUUGCGGGGGCUCAUUGCAUUAGUGCCGCCGCCAGCUCAGCCCCUCGCCUUCCCGCUGAGGGGAGGGGGUCACUCAUGCGCUCGAAGAGGGGAGCCAGGUAGAAGACCCCCCUGCCCGCUGGCAUCCUGGAUUCUGCCGGGACCAAGUCCCAGAAGACUCCCUGGUCCCCGAUCUCCUCCGACCCCAAGGUCAGAGGGCUGCCUGCCAGGCAGUGCUGUUCCAGCUCAGCUGCUCUCAAGACCCUGGGCGAGACCACUCAGGCGGCAGAAGCAAGGCCAGAAUAGGGGACGCGGGGUCCGACUGCGGAGGACCAAGCUGCUGCAGUGCCCAACCGCACCGCAGAAUGAGGGCGGCUUGGCUCCCAGCAAAGCGAAGAAGGCCGGCUCAGUCCCGCGCUCAGGGCCCGGAUGCCCUGAGGCUGCUCCUCGGGCCAGGAUUUUCCUAGCGAGCCGAGCGAAGCUCCAGGCAAGCCGCAGGGCCCUUCAUUUUCUGUGGAUCCCAGGUUACCCGGUCUCUGUUGCUGCCUUUCGGACCCACGGAGCCGGUUCCUGCCACGCCAGCCUCGGGUGUGGGCCCCGGGGCCGAGUGCUCGAGCGGAAGGUGGGAGGCGGGAGGCAGUGGGGAGAGGCGGAGGGGGAGGGAAGGGAGCCCCAGGCUGCUGGGCCUGAGCGAGAGGGUCAGUGCGAGCGCCUGCAGCCUUAUUUCAUUUGGGCGGAACCAGCUCCCCUUGGCUAUUCCACUUCCCACGUGUCCCUAUGUUCCUGAUCUUGAGGGAUCACAUCCCAUCAAACAUCCACCGACGCUUAAUUGCUCCAGCUCUUUCCCACGCCCCUCCCCUUCCAUUAGGCCCACCCCAUCCUGUCUGCAGUAGCGACCCCGCUCCUGCGUGCUGAACUUCGGGGCCCAGACCCUUGUGCCGCCCCGCUGGCCCGCCUGGGGCCCGGGGCGGCGCCGGCAAGUUCCCCACACCUAGUCUUCAGGGUGUUCCUGACCGGAAGCCGGACCAUUAGCCCUGCGGAGGGCAGCUCGUGUCCGCCUGCCCCUCUCGGCAACCCCAGCAAUCUUUUUCUUCUGCCCAGGCUUACUCCUCCUCUUCCUCUUUCCUCAGCCUCCAGGCAUUUCUUUCUCAUUCCUUUUUUUGUUCAGUGGGGUGCUCAGCCCCGGCCUCUGGCUCCUGGGGAGGCUUGGGCUUACUCGGCCGGCAGCUCUGAGUCCUCAGCUGAAACGCUGGGUUAACCACCAAAUUUCGAACGCCUUCUGCAGCAGGGCCACCUGAGUGUCUUUGCAGAGGCAGGUGAGAGGGCUGAUGGCACCAUGACCUCAGACAACUCCACUCCAGGGCAGCUGUGUGAUCUUGGGAACAGCUGAUAGGGUGCCAGGUGUUAGAAACCUUCUCUCCAAUCCUGGCCGGGUCCCGGUUUUACCCAAGAGGAAACUGAGGUUAAGAUCACCUCCCGCUGGUCCGUGCCACAGGUGAACGAGUUUGGCGGCUCCCAGAGAAGGAUCGAAAUAAUACCCAGUGAGGAACUUCCGGCAUAUAAUGGGACAGCCUCUGGGACAGGUCAGGGAGGACAGCGUUUCUCCAAGCCCAAGUCCGGGGAGGUGGCCUUGGCAGGGCCAAGGUAGAAGCCAUCGCUCCCCAAGUUUUCCUCCCACGAGUCUAUGCAUCUGUUCAUGAAUCUAUCUGUCCUGUGGGGCCCACGUUCCCAGAAGCCCCCCACCGAGGGAGAGAAGGAGCACCAGAGAGAAGGCACACGGCCCAGGGCAGAGGUAUGGCCAAACGAUCCCCCCACUCUUUCACCCUCUCCAGGGGCGUCUCUCUGAGGUAGGCUCCUCCUAGCUGCAGAAGUGGGACUGGUUGUGGGGGAGUAGGGGUGGGUAGGCUGGAAGCUGGGGCCUGGGGACCCCUGACUGGGCAGGGGAGGGCUGUAAUCCGGCUCCCCCGGCGGCCGUCCCCAGCUCCCGCUGCAAGGUCGCCCCGUGGCAGCCCCGACAGGCCAUGCGUCCCUCGACACAAGUCCCAUUAUAUUGUAUUUAUGUUUCACUUUAUUGGUUUUUUUUUCCCUCUCUUAUUAUUGUCUCACUCUGGGGGAGGCAAUGGAUAUAAUAUAUUCAUCUUUAUUAUACCAAAUCUGUGUGAAGCAUUUAAUAAAACGCUGUUUCCACACAGCCAGGGAUAUUAGUGUGAGCUAUUCUUAAGUUAAUGCUCGGGUAUUGAGGGCGCUUCUGCCACAGCGCCUGCUGCUGGCGGCCCCGGGGAAGCUCAGGCCCUGGCCGGGGGCGCCUGGCGCCCACCCAGAGCGCCCGGUGCCCUUCCCGCUUGAGUGCUCAUCCUAGCCGUGGCUCGGUGACCCUUCGGGCCCCGGCCUGGGAGGAGGGCCUCGGAAGAGUGGAGUCCAAGCCCUCCCCACCCCGCUCGAGUUUCUAACUGACUGUGAGCCUUGGUUCGUGCCUAGGCAAAGGACUAGAAUUCCAUAACCGCUUUCCUCUCAGGGCUCUUCGUUGGGAGGCUGAAGAGGCCUCGGGGGUGGACAGGGCUUUAUAAACAGGAAGGAAAAAAAGCGAGGAUUUGUCGAGAUGGGGUCGACGAGGGCCAGAGAGAAACAACGGAGGUCACAAAAGUAGUUCUAGACAACACAGACUCUCAAGCUGAACCCCAGGCCAGGCUGCAGAGCCAGCGCAACUCCAGUUUGAGCCGAGCCGGGAAGCUUUCGGUUCACCUGGGCUUUACCCGCAGCAGCCGCUGGUGAAGGCGACUGUGUGUAGCAGAGCUCUGGGACUGUCACAGUGGGCUCUCCCAUGGUUCACCCCCUAGGUAGGCAAACGGUCUCCGUAGUCCAGUUUACAGCUAGCACACUGACACUCAGAAUGGUCAAGUGGCUUGUUUGAGGUGCCCCCUCUGGAAUGUAGCACGCUGGAUCAUACCGUCUUCAGACUCUGCUCCCUUCCCUUCUUCCCCCAGCCCUCCUGCUCCCUACCUCCCCCCCCCCUUCUCCAGCCCCAUCCUCCAGGGUUUUCCAUGGCUUAUGAGCUUUGCAUUUCUGCUUCCUACACACACACACACACACACACCCCUACCUGGGGAUGCUCAGGAGAAGGAGAAACAGUCACACGGAUUUCCACAUCCAGGCUCACUGCCCAAUGUCCUUUAGAGCCUGCUGCUUGGGUUCUUUUAAGGCCCAGAUUUGGGAACAUCAGCCUGUCUUAUACCAGUGCUGUGGGGGAAGGUUAGGGGCAACUAGACCAGGACAGAAGGAGGUGAUGUGCAGACAAAGAUUGGAGGGGGCAGGUAAGUCCCCCUGUUAUGACUAAUACCCUCCCAUAGUCCUCCUGUGCCCCCAUCACCUCGUAUUUGGGGCUGUACUAGGGCACCCCCCACACUGUAGGCAGCUGGUGGAGUUUGUUUGGAGGCUAAGGGUAUUGGACAAAUCUGACAGUUUCCAGCUGGGCUGGCUGGGGGAGGAGGAUACAGACCCACUGUGUGGCCGGGUUGGGACUCAGGUGAGGCAAGUGAGGUGCCUUGGGCACAGGACUGAAGGGGGUACUCGCUCUGAGCGUUAUGUACUUAAAUUCCGGGCUUAAGCAUCUCAUUUGCCUCACCCUAGUCCCAGCUCUUCUGUGUGGUCCCAGGGGUGGAAUCACCACCACAAAUUGCUGAGCAGAGAUGGGAUGACUUCAGCUUAUCCUUGUGAAUGGCUUUCUGAAGGGUAGAAGCGAAGACAAUGGAAUGAGCUGCCUUGUGUGGGAGUGAGCUCCCCCCAACAGGUGGAGUAUGCAAGCGGGGCUUAGAAUCUGCCGAGAAGGCUGGUAGACACAAUUUUAUUGUCGUCCUCAUCAUCUUCGCUAUUUUACCAUCACUCCCUUUGUGCCACAUAA
Felis catus (domestic cat) is the source of this 5144-nucleotide long non-coding RNA. RefSeq lists it as uncharacterized. The transcript has 3 exons. The record is from RefSeq and is a predicted model, not a curated record. Lineage: Eukaryota; Metazoa; Chordata; Mammalia; Carnivora; Felidae.